UACGUAGGGGGCAAGCGUUGUCCGGAUUUACUGGGCGUAAAGCGCGUGUAGGCGGCUAUGUAAGUCGGGCGUGAAAUCCCACGGCUCAACCGUGGAAGUGCACCCGAAACUGCGUAGCUAGAGUCCUGGAGAGGAAGGUGGAAUGCUUGGUGUAGAGGUGAAAUUCGUAGAUAUCAAGCGGAACACCGGUGGCGAAGGCGGCCUUCUGGACAGUGACUGACGCUGAGACGCGAAAGCGUGGGGAGCAAACAGG
This 253-nucleotide ribosomal RNA is filed under the name uncultured bacterium. RNAcentral describes it as "partial 16S ribosomal RNA". It matches the Rfam family "Bacterial small subunit ribosomal RNA", at positions 524 to 776 of the family's 1533-position model. The record is from RNAcentral.